Molecule: ribosomal RNA, 926 nt
Filed under: Triticum aestivum (bread wheat)
Lineage: Eukaryota; Viridiplantae; Streptophyta; Magnoliopsida; Poales; Poaceae
Description: partial small subunit ribosomal RNA
Source: RNAcentral
GGUACCCUCAGUCAGCACAAUAUUUCACAGGGCAAUAAUUUAUAUGCGAGAAAGUUUCAUUUUGUGAGGACUGCAUCCGCAGGAAUUUACACGAGAGGAAGUUGUAUUUUCAUGCGAGAAAGUGAUCAAACUUACAUUACACAUUCCAAAUCCCAAAACAGGAUAGUAGUAAAAGCACAACCAACUCUAAAUCUCUAGUUAACACAACCGGUGACAAUCCAUGGUGGUUACACAGGACUACGCUUUCUUCUAAAAAAGAGAAAAACACACAACUACACUACAGCGCAGACAAGCACAGCCAGAAGGAUUAAACCAAGUAUGCCGUGCGUGCAUGCACCGUAGCUUCCAGAUCAGGAAAAUAUGACAAGACUUGAAAUCACGACGUAGCUCACGUUAUCUGCGACGGCAAACUUUAUACUACCAAAGAAAAUUAAGAAAAACCUGCAACUGCGAAGGCUAAGGAGCUGUACUGCCGAGCAGACGGGUUGAUCUUCUUUUUUUGCGGGUCAGCCGUAGAAGCAGGCGACGGCGCGGCGGCGGGGCGGUGGCUGCAGGGCGGCGAGUAUUAGCCCCACCACGACGACGGCGACGACGAUGAGCACCAUGACGAUGUCCUCGUCCAGCGAGAGCAGGCAUACCUUCUUCCCCAUCGCCGCGCGUGUCUGGUGCAACUGGGCGGUGGUUUCUUUUCUCCACUGAAACUGAAAGGAAUUAAUCCAAGAGGGGUAUAAUAGUGGAACCGGAAGCGUGCUGGUAAAGGGACAAAAAUAUAUGACGUGUGUACAGUAGACAUUUCUGAAAGAAAAGGAAAACUACGUACAGUGGGGUGGCUCUGUCGGUCAACUGCGGGUUCGUUUCUUUAGUCAAUUCGAACCCAUUCCAACCGUCUAAGUAGACGAACCACCACCACCAAUUGGUAUUUGGUA